AAACCCCUCUUCCAAAAUAUAAAAAACGAGAAGCAUUAGAAUAUCCCUGAUUAUCCGUCCAUGCAUCGUCACGUUAAAUAAUUAUGGGGACACAAACAAACACCGUGCCGUCGCGACCACACGCUCCGCCUCUUCGUCAAACCAGACACAUUCUACGACUUGUGCUAAGCCGUAAUUGAGCACAGGGUGCCCAGGAAAACCAGGGGCUGCUCUGCACAGACCUGAGUUUUUAUAGUGCCUUAGCUCCUAUUUUUCCAUCUCCGCCAGACACCAUCAAACCGACCAGGCGUGUUAGGAAGUUGCCACCUACACGGACUAAGGAGCCAAAGUCGUCCAGCGACAAAUAAAAAAAAUAGACAUUCUAAACCUAAACAGGUCACAGAAAUGUUGGGAGAGGGCGAUGGCGACGACAGAGGGACAGAGGAGGGACCACACAAGGACAAACCUCGACUAGUGGGAACACGAUUCAACUCCAUGGUCAAUGGGAGGACGUGGCUUUAGCCGUACUAUCUCUUGGGUCAAUUCAAGGGAUACGACUGAUAUCAGUCUCUCAUCGAACUCCCAUGGACAGAGUGCCACAAAACAUGUAAAAUGACAUCAGCGAUGGAGAGUGGACAACCGCAAGAACCGAACUAACCUUGUGUUGGAAUAUGGGUUAUAAUCAUUGUCGAUUUAGCUCAAAAUUGGCGAGCAAAUAACUUCACAAGGCAAAAGCUACAUUUAAAAAAAUCUCGCCAUGGACCUUUGGCUUAGCCUAUGUAAAUAAUGUUGCAAUGGCUAUAGCUUAAUAAAUUGUGAAACAAAA
Long non-coding RNA from Salmo salar (Atlantic salmon), 805 nucleotides. RefSeq lists it as uncharacterized. The record is from RefSeq and is a predicted model, not a curated record. NCBI's taxonomy places the organism in Eukaryota, Metazoa, Chordata, Actinopteri, Salmoniformes, Salmonidae.